GGGUCAGUAGGUUGGUCAUGCCACUGGUAUGUACUGGUCUCACUGAUUCCUCCUUCCUGAUGAGCCGUAAUGCCAUUAAUUUGGUGUCUUGGGGAAUCAGGACUGUUACUUUGAAAAGAUUAGAGUGUUUAAAGCAAGCUAACGCUUGAAUACAUUAGCGUGGAAUAACGAAAUAGGACGUUCGAUCCUAUUUUGUUGGUUUCUAGGAUUGACGUA
Molecule: ribosomal RNA, 216 nt
Filed under: uncultured Glomeromycotina
Lineage: Eukaryota; Fungi; Glomeromycota
Description: partial small subunit ribosomal RNA
Rfam family: Eukaryotic small subunit ribosomal RNA (bases 40-216)
Source: RNAcentral